GAUCCUUUAUUUUCAAAACUUUUUACAAUAAACAAUUUAUUUGGUGUAAUAAGAAAGAAAAAGUGUUUACAAACUUCAGGUCCAAGAUGAAUUUAAUCCAUUCUAUACAGAUGAGUCCUACAGGCCUCCCCUCCAGCCAACCUGCUGGCCCCGUCUCUCUAUGUCAGGGGUCAUGUUAUGGUGACACCCAGCCCGUCUCUCUCCGCCCUGGAGCAGCCUGAGAAGGGCCCAGUUCGAGCGUCUCCCAUGCUGCCUCCUGUGCGGGCCCGCGUGUGUGGCUGGCAUUGUGGGCCCGGGCAGAACCUGGCAGCAGCUGCGCGGUGGCGGGGACCUUGGUAGACGGCGUCCUUUCCGCAGCCGUGUUACUUAGAAGCAGAACCAAAGCAUAUUAGGUAAGUGGUAACAUGAGAAACAAAGCCGAGAGCAAAUGUUUGGGGCUUUGUUCUGAAGGACGCCGAUGGCUCCACAGCGUGAAUGUCUGCGAGGAGAAAUUCACCAGACUGGAACAGCCCGAGCUUUGGGGCCAAACCGCGAGGUGUGAUUGCCACGCGGGAGGCCCUAGAUGGGGAGACCUCACUUACCACUCAGUCUCCACUGCCCUCAAGCAGAGAAGUCGGGGGUAGCGCUACCCUGCCAACCUAACACAGUCAUCAGGUCCAAGUCUCUUAAAGGGUUUCUUCCCCAAAGUUUCAUUUCUUUCUGCUGUCAGGCCUGCAGACUUGGACUAAUUUUCACAAAUGAACAGGAAAUGCAAAAGCAAACUCUGAUUCUUUUGUAGGUGCGGCAAUGCAGAAGCAAUGAGCACCAAGCAUGGCCAUCCAAACAUCUAGGAAGCCAGGUGUUGAACACAGCAUAGCCAUAAAACGGAAGGAGAUUGGGUCCCUGAAUCAGAGGAAAGCCUGUCCGCAAUUAGGCAAACCUGUUUCAACUUUAUGUAGGGGAAGCCAGACACAUUCUAUGACUAUACUCAAGCAGUCCUAUGGAGAGGUACAUGGCAAGGAACAGGGGCCUCCUGCCCACGUGUGAGUGACUGAGCCACUUGGAACCAGAUCCUCCAGAUCCAGUCGAGCCUUCAGGUGAAUGUAGCCCCAGCUAACCUCUUGACUGCAACCUCACAAGAGACCCUGAUCCAGGACCACCCAGCCAAGCUGCUCCUAAAUUCCUGGCCCACAGAAAUUAUAAGAAAUAAUAAACAUUG
Equus caballus (horse) is the source of this 1198-nucleotide non-coding RNA. The record is from RefSeq and is a predicted model, not a curated record. Lineage: Eukaryota; Metazoa; Chordata; Mammalia; Perissodactyla; Equidae.